CAGUACCGUGAGGGAAAGGCGAAAAGAACCCCGGCGAGGGGAGUGAAAAAGAACCUGAAACCGUGUACGUACAAGCAGUGGGAGCACAGGUUUACCUGUGUGACUGCGUACCUUUUGUAUAAUGGGUCAGCGACUUAUAUUCUGUAGCAAGGUUAACCGAAUAGGGGAGCCGGAGGGAAACCGAGUCUUAACCGGGCGUUAAGUUGCAGGGUAUAGACCCGAAACCCGGUGAUCUAGCCAUGGGCAGGUUGAAGGUUGGGUAACACUAACUGGAGGACCGAACCGACUAAUGUUGAAAAAUUAGCGGAUGACCUGUGGCUGGGGGUGAAAGGCCAAUCAAACCGGGAGAUAGCUGGUUCUCCCCGAAAGCUAUUUAGGUAGCGCCUCGUGAAUUCAUCUCCGGGGGUAGAGCACUGUUUCGGCUAGGGGGCCAUCCCGGCUUACCAACCCGAUGCAAACUGCGAAUACCGGAGAAUGUUAUCACGGGAGACACACGGCGGGUGCUAACGUCCGUCGUGAAGAGGGAAACAACCCAGACCGCCAGCUAAGGUCCCAAAGUCAUGGUUAAGUGGGAAACGAUGUGGGAAGGCCCAGACAGCCAGGAUGUUGGCUUAGAAGCAGCCAUCAUUUAAAGAAAGCGUAAUAGCUCACUGGUCGAGUCGGCCUGCGCGGAAGAUGUAACGGGGCUAAACCAUGCACCGAAGCUGCGGCAGCGA
RNAcentral lists this ribosomal RNA (716 nucleotides) under Salmonella enterica. Its description in RNAcentral is "bacterial LSU rRNA". It matches the Rfam family "Bacterial large subunit ribosomal RNA", at positions 496 to 1211 of the family's 2925-position model. Lineage: Bacteria; Pseudomonadati; Pseudomonadota; Gammaproteobacteria; Enterobacterales; Enterobacteriaceae. The record is from RNAcentral.